This 484-nucleotide ribosomal RNA is filed under the name uncultured bacterium. RNAcentral describes it as "partial 16S ribosomal RNA". It matches the Rfam family "Bacterial small subunit ribosomal RNA", at positions 28 to 523 of the family's 1533-position model. The record is from RNAcentral.
GACGAACGCUGGCGGCGUGCUUAACACAUGCAAGUCGAACGAUGAAGCUGGAGCUUGCUCUGGCGGAUUAGUGGCGAACGGGUGAGUAACACGUGAGAAAUCUGCCCUCGACUCUGGGAUAACUGCGGGAAACUGUAGCUAAUACCGGAUACCUUCCCUGGUGGGCAUCCACUGGGGAAGAAAGAAUUUCGGUCAAGGAUGAUCUCGCGGCCUAUCAGCUUGUUGGUGAGGUAAUGGCUCACCAAGGCGACGACGGGUAGCCGGCCUGAGAGGGUGACCGGCCACACUGGGACUGAGACACGGCCCAGACUCCUACGGGAGGCAGCAGUGGGGAAUAUUGCACAAUGGGCGCAAGCCUGAUGCAGCAACGCCGCGUGAGGGAUGAAGGCCUUCGGGUUGUAAACCUCUUUUAGCAGGGAAGAAGCGAAAGUGACGGUACCUGCAGAAAAAGCACCGGCUAACUACGUGCCAGCCGCCGCAGUAA